CUUGUUCCUUACGGAGGUGUAGAAAAUCUGUAGCAUGAUGUAAUGGAAUUAAGAAUGGGUCAAUGAAAUAUACAGCUCCUUUCUGGAAUGUACCUGUUCUGCUACAACCAUGGAUAUCCUGACCUUUCUGUGCCUUUCAGGGACAAGGGUAAUAGAGGAGUUUCAGACUCCCUCUAAAACAAAACAACAACUGAACAAUAAACAACAGAAAAAGAACACAAAAAAAGACGGUGGUACUCUUUCCCCUUUCCUUGCUUUCUCCUGCUACCAAAACAAACAACAAAAACUACAUUGUCUCAUUGGAUGACGAAGCUAAAAUUUUGUAGCAAAUCUAUAGAAGAAAAGAAGUGGAAAUCUACUCAAGAGCUACUGUAAAACACUGUAUACAAAACAACCACUUUGAUUCACAUUAAAAAGUGUUAUCUGUUUCUUUGAAAAAAAAAAAAAAAA
RNAcentral lists this long non-coding RNA (450 nucleotides) under Homo sapiens (human). RNAcentral describes it as "long independently transcribed non-coding RNA 911, transcript variant 2 (LINC00911)". The record is from RNAcentral. Lineage: Eukaryota; Metazoa; Chordata; Mammalia; Primates; Hominidae.